UACGGAGGGUGCGAGCGUUGUCCGGAAUCAUUGGGCGUAAAGGGCGCGUAGGUGGCCCGGUCAGUUCGUGGUGAAAGCGCGGGGCUCAACCCUGCGUCGGCCAUGAAUACUGCCGCGGCUGGAGCACUGUAGAGGCAGGCGGAAUUCCGGGGUGUAGCGGUGGAAUGCGUAGAGAUCCGGAAGAACACCGGUGGCGAAGGCGGCCUGCUGGGCAGUUGCUGACACUGAGGCGCGAC
Molecule: ribosomal RNA, 236 nt
Filed under: uncultured bacterium
Lineage: Bacteria
Description: partial 16S ribosomal RNA
Rfam family: Bacterial small subunit ribosomal RNA
Source: RNAcentral